Molecule: ribosomal RNA, 466 nt
Filed under: uncultured bacterium
Lineage: Bacteria
Description: partial 16S ribosomal RNA
Rfam family: Bacterial small subunit ribosomal RNA
Source: RNAcentral
ACGAACGCUGGCGGCGUGCUUAACACAUGCAAGUCGAACGGAAAGGCCCUGCUUUUGUGGGGUGCUCGAGUGGCGAACGGGUGAGUAACACGUGAGUAACCUGCCCUUGACUUUGGGAUAACUUCAGGAAACUGGGGCUAAUACCGGAUAGGAGCUCCUGCUGCAUGGUGGGGGUUGGAAAGUUUCGGCGGUUGGGGAUGGACUCGCGGCUUAUCAGCUUGUUGGUGGGGUAGUGGCUUACCAAGGCUUUGACGGGUAGCCGGCCUGAGAGGGUGACCGGCCACAUUGGGACUGAGAUACGGCCCAGACUCCUACGGGAGGCAGCAGUGGGGAAUAUUGCACAAUGGGCGGAAGCCUGAUGCAGCAACGCCGCGUGCGGGAUGACGGCCUUCGGGUUGUAAACCGCUUUCGCCUGUGACGAAGCGUGAGUGACGGUAAUGGGUAAAGAAGCACCGGCUACCUACGG